This is a non-coding RNA of Macaca mulatta (Rhesus monkey), 2339 nucleotides long. Lineage: Eukaryota; Metazoa; Chordata; Mammalia; Primates; Cercopithecidae. The record is from RefSeq and is a predicted model, not a curated record.
GGGCCUACAACGCCGUCGCAGCGGCCUUAAGCCCCGCCUAUCACUGGAGCCAUGCCCGCGUCCGAGUCCCACCCUCACCGCUGCCAGAGCUACGGCGGCCGCGCGCCUUCGUGGCCGCGCCCGCUCCUGCCCGGGGCCCCGUGUGUCUUGGGCCCGCCCUUCCGGGCGCUGCCGCGCUGGGUGGCGGAGUCGGGAUCCAGGUGGCCCGGCGGCACCCGGCCCAGUCCACCGCCCCUCCCUCGGCCUCGCGCCCCACCCUUUGGCUGAGGAAACAGACUGAGAGGGGAGGUGACUGAUCCAGGGGCAUACAGAAAUUCAGGCCCUGGGGAGUAUAGGGCCAGGCCUGGGGCAGAAGACCGGUUGGCGUCCAGUACGCCGCAGGGACCCGCCAAAGGAGACAGUGCCCAGUGAUGCUCUCCCAAAUCCAGGGGAGAAGGACUCAACGCUCCGGUGCCCACCACAAAAAGACGCCAGCCCCAUAUGAUGUGAAUGCACUGGGCCCCAGCCAGGAGAUGGAGACCCGUGAAGGGAAGCAAAGCAGCGCCUUCCCAGCCAGCAGCAGCAGCUACCCCUCCCAUUUCCUUCUUUGCCUGUGUGGGCCGUUCCCUCAUAGCAGCUCUAAUAUGAGAUGCUGGAGCCUGACCCAGAAUCGGGGCCCAACACAGUAUCCCCUUCUCGGACAGCACUGUGGUCCCUGCAGUUCAUGCGCCGUCUGUCUCUGUGCCUCAGUUCUCCCCUGUGCCAUGACCUCCCAUCAGGGCCAGCAUAUGGGGCAUCAGGAGAAUGGGUGCAGUUGUCACCUGGAAACCUCAGAACUCUUGGGGCCCAGUUAUGGCCAUACACAGCAGCCACCCCUGUCCCCAAACACUGAAGGUGAGCCCCUGCCCAGACUCCCCAGGAGGCCAGGCUGCCAUCAGACCCAGCCUGCCCCAGGCCUGUGGACAGGGCCAGUCCCAGGGCAGGAGGGUAGUGGCCCAGCCUGUGGGUCCCUCCAGGCCUCUCAUCUGCUUGUGUGCCUGAGUAAGUCCAGGCUGGCUCUGGGCUCCAGGUGCUCCCCUGGAGGACCCAGAGGGGGCUUCCCCAGAGGGCCUCUUUUGCCCCAUGGGAUGUGGCCUGACGCCAAUUCUUCUGCAUCCAUCACACCGUUAUGGCGUCUAGUACUUAGCUCUCUGGGUUUAUUUUGCACACACUCCUGCCCCUGAGUGAUGUCAGAGCCAUAAGGGUGGGGACAGAGUGGAAGGGAGACACAGUGGGGACCACAGUGGCUCCAUGCACUGCCCACCUUCAGGGAGCCCUGACCCCAGCCCCUUUUGGGAAAGCUAGCAUCCCACCUUCACAACCACUCCUGCACCCCCAGCACUGCCCCGACCAUGUGAUGGACAGGGAAACUGAGGCUUCGAGCAUGAAGCCCCUUGCCCAAAGUCUGGCAGCCAGGUGUGGCCUCCCAAGUACAGGUCGCUGCUCCUCGGCCACCUGAGGGUUUGAAGAGGAUUUACUUCAAGGAACCCAAUCCUGCAUGCAGGGACUCAAAAGCCCUGUGCCCUCUGGGAUGUGCCCUCCAAGCCUAUGGGAUGGAAGGUCACGGCAGAAAGCAGGACAGCUGCUAGUGCAGCCAGGGGUCUACAGCCCAGAUGCCCACCACGGGGACUGCAAGCAGGCAUGGACACCCCCAUGGUCAAAGGGGGAAGACAGACAUCAGCAGAGAACUGGGCUCAACUCCGAAUACAGCAAGGACACUUGGGACAGGAGGCGGCUUUGAGGAUGGAAAAUUAGGAAGAGGAAACAUCGGGGUGAAGGGGAUUCCGGCUGACAGAAUUCUUGCAAAGACAGCCUGGGCUGAUAAGAUCUCACCCAGAGGAUGGUGCAGCUUUCAUCCCGACUGAAAAACAUGGGUCUCGCCAACACCGAAUUUGAAAGACAGCUGAGACCCCAGUGGUCUGGAGACGACAAGGAUACCAUCGUAGCCUGGAUGUUGCUCGCGGCUGUUUCCCCACUCCUUUACCACCCCUGGAGAGGGACCCCCGGUGACUUUGUGGUGUGGCUUAGUCUGAUCCACACAUUAUGAACAGAAGCGAUGUGUGCUCCCUCCAGGCCAGAGCAUUUAAUUGCUGGUGCAAGUACCGCUUACCCUUGUAUCCUCUUCCGUCCUAGGCCUAGCACAGAGGCCGUGAGUCUGUGGAUUGUAUCCUCUUCCCCUGCCAUGAGACUGUGGACUCCCACACUGGAAUGGGGGCUCCUCCACCAGCCGGGGUCCCUGGUGACUGUAUGGAGUGGAGCCCACCCCUGCCAAUCCAGCCGGGACACAGAGUGCAAGUGGGAAAUAAACUUGGUUGUCUGAC